RNAcentral lists this transfer RNA (86 nucleotides) under Roya anglica. RNAcentral describes it as "tRNA-Ser". It matches the Rfam family "tRNA". Rfam says of the family: Transfer RNA (tRNA) molecules are approximately 80 nucleotides in length. Their secondary structure includes four short double-helical elements and three loops (D, anti-codon, and T loops). The record is from RNAcentral. RNAcentral also lists the same sequence under 1 other name. Lineage: Eukaryota; Viridiplantae; Streptophyta; Zygnematophyceae; Zygnematales; Mesotaeniaceae.
GGAUGGAUGUCUGAGUGGUUGAAGGUAUCAGUCUUGAAAACUGAAGUGUUUAAUUGGCACCGGGGGUUCAAAUCCCUCUCCAUCCG